This is a non-coding RNA of Chinchilla lanigera (long-tailed chinchilla), 887 nucleotides long. NCBI's taxonomy places the organism in Eukaryota, Metazoa, Chordata, Mammalia, Rodentia, Chinchillidae. The record is from the annotation of a RefSeq genome assembly.
GCUGCAAGGGUCCGGAAGGGACUCCUGCUCAGUGAGUCUAGGGCACCUGCUGCUGUAAGAGCAAGUUGGGGCACAGGGCUUUACAGCCUCCAGAGCCUGGAGAAGGACGCCCCAGGCACGAGGACGGGAGCCAUGGAGAGGAAACUGGGAGCCCUGCUGGGGCUUUUGUGGGUGCAGGUUUGCUGGGUGAGAGGGGAGCAGGUGGAACAGAGCCCUUCAGCCCUGAGUGUCCGGGAGGGAGACAGCCCUACACUGACCUGCAAUUUUUCUGCCACCAUGAGGAGUGUGCAGUGGUUCCGGCAAAGCCCAGGAGGCGGCCUCGUCAAUCUGUUCUUAGUGACUACUGGGACAAAGCGGAAUGGAAGACUAGAGUCAACGUUUAAUUCCAAAGAGAGAUUUAGCACCCUGCAAAUCACAGCCUCCGAGCUGCGAGACUCAGGCUCCUACAUAUGUGCAGGAGAGGCACAGCGCUCCCAGGUCACCUGCAGCCUGGCCCCAAACUGCAGCUGGGGCUGAGUCACCGCAGCUGCCUCAGGCAGACUCGCCCAGCCUCGCGCACAGCUUUGGUUUCCUUAUUCAUGCUGCACCAGUGUUUCUUCUGCUAACCUCAGGCUUUUCAGUGCAGUUGCUUUAUAUGGUUCGUACACUUUCUCUUCCAGAAAUUAUUUUGCAGGGGAGAAGAGCCACUGGUACAGAUGGCAGGGCCCAAAGCACUGGUGCAGUGGAUCCCCUGGCAGAGCACAUCAAUUGCUCCUAAGCUACUGUGAUGAAAAAGCCUGGGAUAAAUUCAUGAUUGUCAAUAAAUUGAAAAGAGAUGAGUUGGUAUUUUAGAUAUUUCUGUGUUAUUCAAUUUUCAUGGAAAUGCAAUGAGAGUGUAUGAUAUAUAU